Molecule: ribosomal RNA, 279 nt
Filed under: uncultured bacterium
Lineage: Bacteria
Description: partial 16S ribosomal RNA
Rfam family: Bacterial small subunit ribosomal RNA
Source: RNAcentral
UGCCAGCAGCCGCGGUAAUACGAGAGGCCCGAGCGUUAUUCGGAAUCACUGGGCUUAAAGGGUGCGUAGGCUGACAUGAAGGUGUGUUGUGAAAUCCCCCGGCUCAACCGAGGAACUGCGAUGCAAACCACAUGUCUUGAGUUAGGUAGAGGUUGUCGGAACGUUCGGUGGAGCGGUGAAAUGCGUAGAUAUCGAACGGAACGCCAAUGGUGAAGACAGGCAACUGGACCUAUACUGACGCUGAGGCACGAAAGCGUGGGGAGCAAACAGGAUUAGAUA